UAAUGUCAAAUUUUUGUUGAUUUUUCCUUGGUAUUCAGUCUUGUUGAAUUAUCUAGCUUCUUGAAAUUAUUACAAAGAGUUAGCAGACUAUUCUGCAUUGUAAGAUACUCUGUUCUGAGCUUAGAAAAAUACUUGUCCCAACUGUAUAAACAAUGAAAAAGAAACAGGUGUGCGGCAGUAUACUUAUUGUAUCUGGAAUACAUGCAUUGAGUUCUCUUUACAUUCUUCUUGUGGGGACUAAGAUCGCAGAAAAUGGAGGUACUGAAGGAAAGCAUGGUGUAAGAUCAUCCAAUUUUCUGACCUUCUUAAACUGUGGAAAUUUCUGUUCGGUUCUUUUGCUACUCUGUUUGAUAUGCCUUGUCCAUUUCAGGAGACUAAAUUAUUAUUUUCACAUCCCCAAAGAACAUUUUAACUGGCAUAUGUUCUGCUUGAAUUGAUGGGAGGUCAACUAGUCUUUUCACAGGUUGGGAAAAUUAUGUAUCUCCUUUGAUUAGCAAAAUUAUUGAUAAUUUUUAGUGGUUAAAAUGUCAUGCUACUUCUAGGAGGGCAGUUUCAUAAAUUAUCUAAAUUUGUUUUCUAUCGAGCUGACUUGUCAAUACUCCUCAGGAUUUACAUCCCUAUAAUUUCUGUUGCUUGUUCAUAGGGAUCAAUUAAGUAUGUCCAUGGUAACCUGUCUGAAGCAUGCAGGAAGGCCAGAGAGACUGAUAUAUUUCAGUAAGUCCUUCUCGUGCUAUUGCCUAAAAGCUUGUGUAUAUUCUCAAAUAUUACCGUAAUGCUUUGGAAAUCCAUGGGACUGUGCAUUUAGGGUCUUUUCUCCUGACGCUAUCUUUCCAUGAUGUAUGUUACUGCGGAGGAGUAAUUUAUGCACAUAUGAGUUCAGUCGAUCAACAAUUCUUUCUCCCAGUCUACACAUCAUGAGCCCCACCUCCCAUAGUACAUAUUAUAGUUCAGACUUCUGAUAUAACACUUUUUCCAUGAUUUUAUGCUUCAUCUAGUUGUACUUGUCAAGUGAUGACAUUUGGUUCCAAAACUUGCUUUAUUCUUUGGCAAAUCUUUUAUGCUAAGAUGUUAAGAUGAUACAUUAUUCUUUCUUCUCCUUUACAUCCUGCAAAUUUGAACCAAUGUGAUUCUGGAUAUUUGCUGUAUCUACUAUUUUCAUUUUUGGGGCUUGAGGAGAUGCAAAUCAUUGCAUGGCAAAAUCUUUAGGGCUAUACAGAUCUUGGGAGAAAUAAUUUACCGACGUGAAAGUAUACAAUUAAUCAUCUUUCAACCCUAAAUGCCUGACAAGAUGGUCAACUUUUCUCAUCUUUUUAAAAAGAAAAUGGUGUAAUUCAAAACAAUGUCAUUCUAGUGAGGUAUAUCAUGGAAUUGGGAUUGCUUAAGCAUUGCAUGCUCAAGUAAAUGAAAUAGUUUUUGUGUUUCAACUAUGUAACUACUGGAAAAACUUGGGGAGCACACACCUGAGUGCAAGCACAACCUUGUUACUGCAGAGUCAAAGCUACAUGGUCAUCAUGGAGUUGAGACACUGCAAUAAGGAAUGCAAGAGUUUUGAUAAAGCAACCUGAUAUACGGUAUACAGGAACAUGCAUGUUUAGUGUAUUAACCAUAUGGGUUGUACAUAGUGCAUGCUGCGAGAAAGAUGGACUGGUCACUUGAUAUAGAGUAUAUCCAGCAAUGGAAAAGAAAAAGUGUUUAAGUUGUUAACAAGCACACAUAAAAUAUUAAAAUGCAUCAGUAGAUAGUGGCCUAGGUGAUGGGUCUAAAGAUAUAUAUAUAUAUAUAUAUAUAUAUAUAUAUAUAUAUAUANNNNNNNNNNNNNNNNNNNNGUAGUAGUAGUAGUAAUAUAUAUAUAUAUAUAUAUAUAUAUAUAUAUAUAUAUAUAUGAACCUUGAGAGUGCAUCACUGCCGAAGACUGGGAGCAUCUAAAGGCACUAAGGAGGCCAAUGAAUGGAAGCUAUGAUUUCUAGAUGCCGAUGAAGAUACAAAUAAACAUGGUAGCAAGAGGCAUUGUUUAGAAGCUGACCAUCACCAUGAUGGUACCUCAUGUUUAUGAGAGCAACCAAAAAGGAGUCUCUAUUUUCAUUAAGAUUUUUGAGGCUGACGGCUGACUGUCCGAGCAUCCUUGAAAUGCUGAGGUGGACGAUUUAAACCCAUAAGCUUGUAGUGAGAUGAAUAAUUUAACAAAGUUGAGUGUAAAGGGAGUAGCUUGACUGACCACAAAUUAGCUUGUCAGGCGCGUUUUAAUACUUCAAUAUUAGGUUACAGUCAAAUAUUUAAUACCAGAUUUACAGGCUACAGAGCUAACAUGAAACAAGACACAAAUAUUGACCACGUGAAGCGGGGAAGAAAGUAACUCUUGUGGAAGAGAUCUUUAAAUGCUGAUAGGGGAAUGAAGAAGGACAAGGUUUAGAAGCUGAUGUGGCAUGGAGGCAGCUAGAUGGUCCCAAGGUCAGGAGAACCUCAAGGAAAUGGAACAAGGGCUGCAAAUUUAGGUCAAAAACCUGGUGCAAGUAUGGUUGGGGAAGUGAUGAUACAUGUUGCUUCUAUAUAAUUGUAGAUAUGAUGGAAAAAAAAGGCUCUUCAAUGUGAAAAUUAGCAGCUUGAUUUUGGGUUCUGCACCAAAUCAUCUGCUGGAUUAAUAUUUCAAGUUGCGGAAACUAUCAUUUCCAAGUUAUUCUGUAAGUUGCAAGAGGAUUUCAUUGGUAAUGCAGAUCUACCACAUAACUUGUUGAUUCAUUUUGCCAAUAGUGAAGAUAGAACCCUAGAUAUUGAUUUCGAAGUUAAUGCAAGAAAGGGAAGCAUAUGUGUUGAAGAAGGUCUUGGAUAAAAAUAUUUUAAACCUGAAGAACCGGAUAAUGGUUAGACAUAAAAACCCAUGAGAUCUAAGGGACUUGAGCUAAAAUAAUAAGGUUCUGGUUUUCUGGUAAAGUAAAUAAUUUAAAUAUAUGGAUUAUAAUUUGGUCAAGCUACUUUAGAGUUUAACCUUUGGGAAUGUUGGCAAUGGGCAUUUGAGGAAACUCAGUGAUAAAAUGGACUUGCUGGAUAGUGUACUGAUCGUGAAGAGAAGAAUAGGGAAGGUAACUUCAAUCUAGGAGAUGGUUUUGAUUAUAAUGAUGAAUUAUUGUUGGCUCUAGGUAGAUAUGUGAAAUUCCUAUGAAAUCUAUACAAUUAUGGUAGAAAGAGUGCUAACCAUUGCAUAUUAAUAAAAAGGUUUGACUCAGCAAGUCACCACCCUUAAAAUCUCAGGGUAAUCACAUGGGGUUAAAGUAGCACGCAGACUCAUCACUAUGUAUAUUGAAAAAUUUGUUUAAAUUCAAAUCGAAUCCUCAGAGUUCAUUUAAAUUUAUCACUCAAGUCAAUAGUUUUAAAGUCAAUAGUUUACUUAAUUGUCAUGAAAAUAAACUUGAGAAAUCAAAAAUAGAAUGCAUCACACAAAUAAGGCUUCUUUAGAAAAGAGCUCUAAUCCACUCCUACAAUUCACAACUUAACAAAAGCGUUGUACUAAUAUGACAUCCCAACUUAAUCAGCUCAUUUUAAGAGGCGUAAAAAUUAAUUUCAUAAUAAUAUACAUAAAAUCUGAAAUAUACCUUUAGCAAAAUCUAAAGUUCUUCUCUCAUGGUCAAACUAUUCCAAGAUUUCAAAUAGCGUACUUGCUUCUCUUGUUCUAUUCUCCUUGAACUUGAUCAUGUAUUCAUUGUAUCUCUUAAUUUGGAUUUUUGUCCAAGAGAAAAAAAAGAAAAAGAUGAAUUAGCGAUCAUCCGUAAAAUUGCAAAUAUCCUUUUAAUUUUGCUCUAAUGAUAUGUCUUAAAACAAAUCAAGGACUGUCAAACCGUCCCAAAUCAAAUGGGUCCGGGGCAUACCAAAUCAGACCGGUCGGUUAUCAAAAAGGUUCGGCCAGUUGAUCCAGUUUUUGAACCAAAUCCUUUUUUAGUUAAAACCCUUCCCAGCGGCCUGAUCUUCUCCCUCUCUCUUGAUUCUCCUCUCCCCUCCUCUCUCUCGAUGCUUCGUGGUGACGAUGGCUCCGCAAUGAUGACGAUACUAGGGUUAGGGUUCUACAACAAAGAUGGCUCCAUAUCUAGGGUCGGUAGGCCUCUUUCUCUGUCUUCUCCUAUCUCUUCCUUUCUCUUCCUCCGUCUCCUUCUCACUUUCCCUCCUCUCUCUUUCCCUCCCUUGGUUCUGCUAUGCCUCGGCUCGGUAUAGUACAUACAUAGUAUCAUACCAAACCAGUCGUCGAUUGGUACAAUGCCUAGUACCAAUUUGGUAAACCUAGGAUCGAACAUUUCCAAAUGGCUCUUUUUGUACUUGUGAUAAUCUUUCUUCCUAUAAUGACAUUUUCCUUUGAAAUUUAUCCAUCACCUUGAUACUUAUGUUAGUUUAUGUUAGUUCCUCUUGAAAUUCUCGAAUUAGGAUUGGAUUAAGCCUGCUUGUAUUUCUUCUUUUGGAUUUCCAGUUCUAUGUAAGCCUGUCUUCUUUCAUGUUUUGAAUUUUAAGCAUGUAGAAUCUCAGGUUUACAUUUAUUUGAGUACCGGGGAUCAUUUUUGCCCCUUCAUGGUGACCCUCAUUUCUUUCCUAUCAUUAUAAGUGUUUCCAAUAUAGCUUUGCAGCAAAUUCCCACCUUUUGGUUCCUAUUCUACUGUUUCUUCUCAUUUUACAUAUGUGACCCCCCCCCCCCCUUCUCUUUGCAUUUUAAAUUCUUGUCACUUAUUAUAUAUUUUAUAAUUACUAAUCCGAUGCUCUUCAACAUACUCAUACUUUAGCACUGCAACCCCCAUAUGGGUGCAAUUGUGGACUAUGGUGGAAUUUGCCAACCCAAGGCUGGCCUGGUUUGGACAAUUUGUCCAAUCCUGCCCAUAGUUUGAGUUUGGCUCAGAUUGGCCUGCCCAAAUUGCAGCCGUAGAUGAGAUUUGGUGAUGGACAGCUUCCACUUAUAGAUAUAAUUUGGUGUUGCAAUACAUGUCCUGUUACCCGCACCCAAUUCUCGGGGCAGGAUUGGACACAUAUCUUAAGAUCCAUUUAGUGGAGUCUUUGUGUCUUAAGAUCUGGAGAUAAGAUGGAUCUGCUUUUGAGACACACACCCCCACCUGACACCCAUACCAAACACAUAUAACAAAGUAUGCCUAUGCUUAUUGUCUUUGAAGAUCAUGGAUGACAUUUUAAUUCAUGGUCCUUAUACAAGCCACUUGAUAUUUUUUUGUUUUUUCUUUUUGGUAUUACAGAGGGUGAUUCAGACAGCCUCUCAGUCUUAUGUUUGAAGGAUAGUUUUUUAUUAUGCUGUUAUAAAUUCCUUUUUUUCACUUACGUGUAUAUAUCCAACAUAUUGGUCUUUGUUUCAACUGCAUGGCCAUCUUUAAGCCAUGAAGCACCCAGGAAUAUGGUAAUAUAAUAAUGUUAAUAAGGCAUUGAGAUUGUGAUUCAUGCACAAUCCUCUUAUUAGUUGUAUUAACGCACGAGAAUCUGGUGCUGAGUGCAAAGCACAAAAAGCACGUUGUUUGUGAGUCAUGUCCUAUUCCUACAAGCAUUUUCCUCAACAAACUAAGGGACUUAUCCAUAUGCUUGCUUCCAAAUGAUGUAGAACAUCAUCUGGUAGGUGUGGUUUUGUGGAAAGUCUAUGAGGUAAUUGAUGACCUUGUUGAAGGCAAGAUAAACUCUGCUAGUGAUAGUUCACUGCUUCUGUUUGAUUCAUCCUGCUGUUUGGCCAUGCUUUCUUGGUCUAUAUGUGGGUGGCAUGUGGAGUAUUUUGCUCUCUUUGCAGAUGGCAGGUGUAACUAUUGGUCACUUUUUCACUGUUAUUUGGGUUGGUUCUUGGUUUCCCUGCAAUUUGCUUUGCCAGUUGUAUAUGUUUAUAUGCGUUGACUGUUUCUGUUUCCUGACAGUGUGAGUUUGGUAGAUCUAUGCAUCACUUGUGACUCCUUGUUUCUGCUAUCACUUUGAAUUUUCUGGGAUCUCUUAUUUUUUUUAAAUGUACUUUUGCUUCAUUUCAUUUUCUUCUUAUUAUCACUACCUUUUAACUCUUAUGUUUUCUUUUAUUUUUCCAUAAAGAAUGGUUUCACUUGAAAUAUCAAGAAAAUGAACCCGUUGUUUCAGUUAAAAUGUCAAGAAUAUGAGCCCACUAAUACACCCCAAGGAAUCCAUUUUUAUAUUUUCCAUGAAAUUAUGUGCCUAGGCAUCCUGUCUGAUAUAAAAGGACAAUUUUGAAAACUAGAACAUGGGCAGAGUUUGGGGGCUUAGUUGAAGAUCAAAGCUCGGCAUGAUUUCUAAUGUCAACGAUGCUUAUGUUUUAUAUUCAUACAUAUUCGAGGCUUGCAGGUUAACCAAAAGGGAUGAUUAUACACAAGAUGAGUGUUCCAAACACACAGACAUUAAGGUGGAUGUCUGAUGACUCUGAAACAAACACUUGAGCAGAAUGAACUGAUUGAGAUAGAGUUGGACGUCAAGGAGCCAUAGAAUUGCACCAUUAUGGCAAUGGAGUGGUGCAAAAUUUGUUCUCAUAUGGAAGGUUGGGAAGUAGGGAAUGACAUACCUAAGAAUAUCUAAAUGGAUUACUUUUGAAAACGAUUUGAGAAUGCUUCUUUUGAUGAUUUAGCCUUUGAGAAAAAGGGUAAAAAGGGUUAAAAAAUGAUUCCAAGAAUGUUAUGGUAUGUUGAUCAUAUUUAGCAUGUAAUAUUUAUAUAUGCUUUCUAGAAGCUUACCUCAUCUGGUGGUGUUUUAACCAAAAAUCAGAUUGAAGUGACUAAGGAUAGAGAUUUUCGUUCAGAAGGUUGCUUCUAUUUGUUGGUUGUUGAGCUGCUCAUUGGCAACUACAGUUCUCAUACAUAUGUGGGCUAUUCCUUCUUGUGGACAACCAAUUACAAGCAUUUACAAAUAUUCACUUUUACAUCUGCAUGUCGUAAUAGACAUUAUUAAGAGAAUAAAUAGGUAAAGAUAAUUUCCUUGAUAAGAUCUCUUUCGCCAUUGAUGGCAUCAAAUGGGUUACUCACAGGUGUGAUGUACAAUUUUGUCCAACAGUCUUUCUGAAAGGUUUGUAUUAAGGGAUGCUAAACCGGCCGGUACGGGCCGGUUCAGCCCAUAUUGAACUAGUCUGGUCUCUGACCGAUCCAGUUCGGCGCUAAAAAAGGUAUCGGCCCGUAUAGGCCGAUACUGGCUAGGAACCGGUGCGAACUGGUCGGUUCGAUCGGUUCCAAAUUUUUUUGGAUGUGUGAAUCAGGCCAAACCAGUGGUAUCAGCUCGGUUCAGUCCUAUCAGUACCGGUUCGGCUCGGUCUGUAUCGGUGCCGAACCGGUCCGGCGGCGGACCGGUAUACCUACCGAUACCAAUUCGGCAAUCCUUGGUUUGUAUACAUGCUUGCUGCCUGAAAUGAAGAUAUCAGUGAAAAUACUUGCUUUUGGAAGUGAUAAUUUUUUUGGGGAAGAGAAUUUUGAACUUCAUGUUCAGAGAAAAAUUGUAAAAGCUUGAUUGCAAGUAUUUGCUCAAUUUUUGUCCGACUACUCCUUUUCAUGUAUUAUACUUUUUAUGGCCAUUAUAUAUGUAAUAGCAUUGGACUUGUGGGAUAUGAGCAGGGGUUGCGUAGUGUCGUACACUACUCAAAAUGUGUGUGGAAAGACAGAAAAGUUCAAUAUGCCGGAAUCAUCUUAAACUCAGAUGCCACUUUAUUCGUUCCCUUAAGCAAAAAUUAAAUCCUCUUGGUUGUGUGGAGAAAAUUAAAAGGCAUGUAUAAUGGAGAUGAACUUCAACAUCUAGCUUAAGAGGUGAUAUGAGAUAGUGGGUGUUUCCUUUUUGGUUACUAAAGGCAUUAGUCACCGGAAAGGUUCUACCUGAAAAGAACUUGGUAUGAAGAUGGAAAUAGCUAUUGAAAUGAGAGACAAAGGUAUUUGAAUGGUGGCAAACUUAAGGAUUGCCAUCUUUGGAUAAAGAUAUGUUGUUUCCAGUAGUGAUGGUGACACGGUGACUUUCGAAGCUAAUGCAGGCCAGGGCUACCGCCUGAGGAUAGUAGGCCCAUGUGCUUAAGGGACUUACACUUGCAAUCAUAGUCGACGAAACCCUCCCAAACCGCUCGGUUCGGGGUGUCCCGAGCCGUACUGGCAGCAGACCAGGAUGGAGGGGGAGAAGAAGGAAAAGAGAAAAAGAGAGAGAGAGAGCCCCUGCCCUCCAUUGGCAGAGUUUCUCUGCCGGCAUCCCCCUUUUCUCUUUUUUUCUCUCUCCCAUUCUCCCCUCUUCUACUCUGUCGAUACAGGGACGACAUGGCACGGCGUGAGGCCGUACCAACCCGUGCCACUGGGCAAUCGGUCCGGGGUCUGGUACCGGUACCGGCACAACAGAUGUUGCUUGCAAUAGGCUAUAUCAGAUACCUGCAUGCCCAGGCUAGGGUUUUUAUCAUUUAAGAGGAGAAAAGGGUUUGGGGGGGGGGUGGGGGGGGGAGUGAAACAAGAUUUUUAGGGUCAAAAAAAAGGAGAAAGGGAGAUGAAGUAGAGGACAAGGAAGGCUAAGGCUUCCUACCUUCAGGAACCUUUCACCACUGGCUUCGCAGACCUUUCUUUCAAUAAACAUUAAUAAAACAUUAAUAUUUAUGACAAUCCUUAAUCAAACCUGUGUAGUAUCCUUGCCCCUAUAGUACAUUAUCAUACUGUUAGCUUUCUCCCUCAGAAGGCACCUUCCAACAAGAAUGUCUCCACAUACCUCCUUAGGCUGUUUUUCCAUCUCCUCUGACAUUUAUUUCCACCCCAUGAUGAUAGGAACAAUGCUAAACUUUGAAAUUGACAGAACAUAUAUUAAUUGCAUCAUGACUUUUUGUUUCAAAAAACCCUCAUAUUUUAGGCUUGUGGAGAUAUGGUCAUUCAGCCAGGUGACAUUUCUGGUUUUGCUGUGUAAAAUAUGAAGGGCAAUGACCAUGGGCUUGGAGUUGCAAACAUUUUAAACUUGUAUUUUCAUGACCUGCAUGUGUGUCUUAAAAGGUUCUAUUAUCUUUUUGAGUUAAUAUGCAGUGAUUGGCCUGCCCUGCCUUUAGCAAUUGGAACUCUGUGACAUGUUUCUUCUAUGAUCUUUUGUUUCUAGGUUCAAGAUUUUGUCCUAUGGAGUGUGGACAAAUGCCAUGAGUGAGACAUGGUGUGCUCAGAGCAUACAUGUUGGUGUAGUCUGUAGUGUUCUAAGGACCUAUAGAGCUACCGGUUCUGUUAAUAUCUACAUAGGCUUUUUUACUCUGAUUAAGUCCCUUAACUCUUUUCAUUAGACAUACAGCUAGUUAUAUGUUCAUGCAAGUAAUUGGAGGCCUGCAUUGUGAACUCCAGUUUGGAAGUUUAACUUCAAAUGCACUAACCAUCUUUUCUAAUAUUUUUCUUCCUCUUAAUAUUUCUUGUGCUCUGGGUAGCUGCCAGUGGACAUUCUGGUCCUGAACCUCCUAUUGAAUGCUACCACUUUACGAAGAGGGCUUGUAUCUUGGGAGAGGAUCGGCAGCAACUUACUGUGCCAGGUUACAAUCUUCUACCGUCAUGCCUUGAAUACCAGAGGAUAAUCGUGAUCCUUCUUAGAGAUUAUCCUAAACUGUAUGCAGAAAUCUCCAGUUCUAGCUUUCCCGCAUGCUUCAAUGUCAAAUUAUACGAGUUCAGAUUGAUUAUUAUUUUGUCAUAAGGGCCAACAUUUGUAUCAUUAUGAGUUUCCAGGAUUUUAAAACUCCAGUCCCACCAAGACCAUUGAAAUCUCAGAGACAGACAAGGAUGCAAACAGAAAAGACAAUCUAGCAAUAAUAUGUAAGAAUCGGAUGGCAAAUCAAGAUAUUCAAGUGAAAAAAGAUGCUCUUCUCGAGGUAUUUUUUUAAUAUUUUCCACAAUUUUUUGCCUUCAUCUUAGUUCAAUGUUGUGUAUUAGCCAUUAUAACGAUGUUGUAACAGCUGCUUACAUAUUAUUAAUUGUCAUUCCCUUGGGCACAACAAGCGGAGUCAUGGUCACCAAAACACGGACAUCUCACCGGUGCCACAUAUUCUUUGCCGACGGACUCCAUGGCCAGGCCUACUGUGAAAUAUCAGUGUCUCAAAAUUAAUAAUGGGCCUCCUUGCGAGGGACCCUUCGCUUGUUUUGUUGACAAAUUAUGAGAUGGUGGACCACCUGCACAAGUUAGAUUUAAUAGGAGCCAAAAAAAGGUCAUACGGGCUGAGUUGAUAUCAUACAGAAGGUAGGAAGAAAGAGAGUUUUUGUUUGUCUUGAACUGUAAGAAAAUAUAAGCCCGGCUUAUCUGUCUAUUGUUUAUAGUAUAGAGGGCAAGAGAUUCUAUGUUAGCAGGACAGCUUGAGAGGGAAGUGUUUGAGGUGGAAAGUGACAGAAUACCAAAAGAAAAUGUUUUCCAUGAUUGGCCUGCAAGGGAGUUGAAUGUGGCAGGAGGUAUAGUGAAAUAGACUUCACCCACGCCUAAAGCAAACCAAUAGCCACUUACUCUCCACCCCUCUCCCUCCUAUUUCCCCACCCUCACUCAUCCUUCACCCCAUCGAUGAAACAAUAACACCUCCCACUCCUCCAUAUGGGGUGGCUUCAGUACCUCAUCUCCCCACUGAAGAAGCUGUGGCUUCGCAUGCAUUCUGCUCACAGGAAGAGUAUGUUCAGCUGCACUCCAAGUUAUCUAUAAUGUUUAGCAUCUUGCCAUUCUGGUGUCAUGUUCUUCUGUAUCCUAUUCUUUUGAUAUCAGCUUUGGAUAAUCGCAUUUGCACUGUCUCCAUUCUCCAAUCGUACUUCCUCUUGCUCUUAAUGCACCAUGCAAAUCCUCUUCUAGCAUGCUAUGCUAUCAGUGGAAAACCUUUUAGAUUCUGUUUAUGCAUUUUACUGUUCUCUUAUUCUUUUGUGGUUAGCUGCUCUUUUCUUGUUCUAUUUUUCUUUUAGGUAAUCUAUGGUUAGCUUUUCUAAUAAUCACUGUUUCUUGCACCCAUUUACAUGGCCUAGCAAUCCUCUAAUGUUGUUCUUGUUAUUGUUUUGAUAGAUAGAGGGAUAUACAUCCUCUAUGAGGAUGUGAAGUCAUGCCCAUACGAAGAUGUGCACGUCCUCUGGUCGAUCCUCGUGGAGUCGCACCCUCCGCCAUUGAGGUUGAAGCAAUGAGGGUUCAUGUGCUCGUAGAAAAGUGGAGCAGCUAAAAAGGAAAGGGACAAUGAGUGAGGUUCUGAUGUACAUAGAUACUUAUACACGCAUAUAGGUGUCGUUCGAGUUGCAUGUUAUGUAGCUUCCCAUGUUCGAUGAGUAAGAUUAAUGAGCUGCUUCUCAUAUGGCCCUAGUUCUUUCUCAUCAUGUCUAUUUGCUUACCAAAAGAAAAUUAGAAGUAUGACCUCAAUCUGUUGGAUGAGUGAGGGUGAUAUUUUGUACAUACGUGCACAUCAUACAAGAAAAAAAAAAGUGAAAAAAAGAAUAAAUAUGUCACAGGAUUUGGUAGAAGGCUUGUUCCUCUUCUUUUUUUAAAUGGGUGGUUUGUCCAUAGAAGGCUUGUUCCUCUUCAUUGUUCAAAUGGGUGGUUUGUCUAUUCUAGGUGGUUGGGGGUUGCAGGGAUUUCGUUUUCGUUUGCUUCAGUGGUUGCUUGAGGUAAGCGGCAAUAAUACACAAAGUGUGUACUAUUACUGCUCAUACGGCAUGCACGUGUUUAAGUCUUACGUCAUUCUGGGAAUAAAAUGUUGGGAGGUUGAGUUCUA
RNAcentral lists this long non-coding RNA (11653 nucleotides) under Phoenix dactylifera (date palm). RNAcentral's name for it is "long non-coding RNA (PDAC_LNC004001)". Lineage: Eukaryota; Viridiplantae; Streptophyta; Magnoliopsida; Arecales; Arecaceae. The record is from RNAcentral.